AAAGAGUGUCAACAUUAUCCAUCAUCCCAUGGGAAAGAGGAAUCUAGAGGUUCUGCAUUUUUGACACAGGUGCAAGAAAAACUUUCUGGUGAAGAAUAUAAAGAGUUCGUUAGUUUUAUGAGGGCAUUGAAAUCCAAGACUAUGAAGAUAGCAUCUGUUUUGGAGUCCAUUGCAAGUUUAUUCUCUGUUCCUGGGAGGCUUUUUCUUCUUGAAGGGUUCAAGCAUUUUGUUCCAGAAAAGUAUAGAGCAUUGUAUGAGCAACUUGUUAGGGCACAUAUUGCAGCAGCUGGUAAUUGAUGCAAAAAUAAAUUUUGCGCUUGUAUUUUUUUGUUCCUAUUUAUUAAGUUAUAUCCUUCUUUACACUAUCUUUCAUCAUUUUGCUUUUAAUAAUGAUUUUUAUGUAUGUAAAAAUUAACUUUAGGUGUUA
This is a long non-coding RNA of Phalaenopsis equestris, 427 nucleotides long. RefSeq lists it as uncharacterized. The transcript is spliced from 3 exons. The record is from RefSeq and is a predicted model, not a curated record. Lineage: Eukaryota; Viridiplantae; Streptophyta; Magnoliopsida; Asparagales; Orchidaceae.